AUGUGCCGCACACAGGUACAGCUUUUGAAGUUGAAGGAGGGAAACCUGAGAGUGAUAGAAAUGAAGAAGGCGGAGAUAAGUUGUGUUAAAGAUACUGAUUUAGAAGAGAGAGGCUAUGAUGUCGAGAUCACUCACAAUGAAGCAUCAGAAGGUUUGCUAUACGAAGAAGUUCUGACAUUGCUGAGUAAGAGUGCUCAAAGGAAAGAACGACGGGAAGCUCUUUUGGAACGAAAAAAGAAGCAAAGAGCAAGGAUUGACCCAACCACAACAAAGGCCACCAUUGAUGAGAUUGCAACUAAAGCUUACAGCCGGUGCAGUGUGCCAUACUUCUUUGAGAUUGUCAAUCUCGUGUGGAAGAGCCACCGCAGGGCCCAGCUUGUUAGGAAUAGUGGUUUUGGCUAUCUGCUGGAGCUGGUCGACUGUCCUGUACCCAGGGGUUUGUGCAGUGGAUUGCUGAUAAUGUGGACACACAAGUAG
Molecule: ribosomal RNA, 477 nt
Filed under: Triticum aestivum (bread wheat)
Lineage: Eukaryota; Viridiplantae; Streptophyta; Magnoliopsida; Poales; Poaceae
Description: partial small subunit ribosomal RNA
Source: RNAcentral